UUAUCCGAAUAAAUACGGAUAUAGAUAUCCGGUUUAUCCGGUUUGUUCAACUCCGGAUAAUUGACCUUCACUAUUGUCUAUAGUUCUAUACUAAUUUAUUCUACUCUUUCUUGUUAUACGCAUGAUUUAGGUCCCCAUUCCACUCUGAGCUCAAAUCCAUUAUUAGAUCAUAUAUUUAGUGUUUUAUCGUUUUACCGACCACCCCCAUAUGGCAUAUGCUUGCAUACAUUCAUUAGGUUACACAU
Non-coding RNA from Cinara cedri, 245 nucleotides. NCBI's taxonomy places the organism in Eukaryota, Metazoa, Arthropoda, Insecta, Hemiptera, Aphididae. The record is from the annotation of a GenBank genome assembly.